Molecule: ribosomal RNA, 273 nt
Filed under: uncultured bacterium
Lineage: Bacteria
Description: partial 16S ribosomal RNA
Rfam family: Bacterial small subunit ribosomal RNA
Source: RNAcentral
GAGUUUGAUCGUGGCUCAGAUUGAACGCUGGCGGCAGGCCUAACACAUGCAAGUCGAGCGGUAGAGAGAAGCUUGCUUCUCUUGAGAGCGGCGGACGGGUGAGGUAAUGCCUAGGAAUCUGCCUGGUAGUGGGGGAUAACGCUCGGAAACGGACGCUAAUACCGCAAUACGUCCUACGGGAGAAAGCAGGGGACCUUCGGGCCUUGCGCUAUCAGAUGAGCCUAGGUCGGAUUAGCUAGUUGGUGAGGUAAUGGCUCACCAAGGCGACGAUCC